UAAAUGGCCCUUCUGCGUCUCUUAUUCUCAGGUCCUGGAAACAGGUCGCGCAGGUCGUCUUCAGUCAGGGCCUGAAUGUCUGAGUCACUUUGUAAAUCAGCGUCUGCAACAACGACACAGAAUGACUAAAGAUGGAAACUCAACAUUUAAACGUGAGCUCAACAGUCAUCUUAUAAAAGUGAAACAACAAAUUGUUUUUAUUAUCUAAUCCUCGUCAAUAAACAAAAGGUCACUAACUCAUCAACUCAUCAGCUGCUGGUUUGUCGAUGCGUUUUAUUUCCUUCAGUAAACCCGACAUGACUUCACCUGUAAAGCGGAAUAAAAGCAGCAUUUAUUAUUCUAUUAUUCUGGUAGGUCGUCUUUUCUCUCGUCCGUGUGACAUAUUGGUGAAAGAUCGGGAUACAAACCAGCUGUGUAGACGAGUCAAACCAAAGGAAGCGAUCGAUCACACGACGGAGGAUCGACUCGAUUAAUUGGUUGAUCUCCUUUAACCGUUAAGAGUUAGCUGUCAAUCAUCCAACCAAAGCAAAAAUCAGAAAUCUGUGCUGUAUUCCUACUCCAAGCUGGUCUUCACAGCAACCCCGAUUUACAGUAAAACGAAAGUGAAACUGCGAGUGACGGUUGUUUUUCUCACUUGUCGUUACAGUUUCAACAUGUUGCGUUUCCG
Molecule: long non-coding RNA, 667 nt
Organism: Gasterosteus aculeatus aculeatus (three-spined stickleback)
Lineage: Eukaryota; Metazoa; Chordata; Actinopteri; Perciformes; Gasterosteidae
Source: Ensembl